RNAcentral lists this ribosomal RNA (253 nucleotides) under uncultured bacterium. RNAcentral describes it as "partial 16S ribosomal RNA". It matches the Rfam family "Bacterial small subunit ribosomal RNA", at positions 524 to 776 of the family's 1533-position model. The record is from RNAcentral.
UACGUAGGGUGCGAGCGUUAAUCGGAAUUACUGGGCAUAAAGCGUGCGCAGGCGGCUUUGCAAGACAGAUGUGAAAUCCCCGGGCUUAACCUGGGAACUGCAUUUGUGACUGCAUGGCUGGAGUGCGGCAGAGGGGGAUGGAAUUCCGCGUGUAGCAGUGAAAUGCGUAGAUAUGCGGAGGAACACCGAUGGCGAAGGCAAUCCCCUGGGCCUGCACUGACGCUCAUGCACGAAAGCGUGGGGAGCAAACAGG